Molecule: ribosomal RNA, 403 nt
Filed under: uncultured bacterium
Lineage: Bacteria
Description: partial 16S ribosomal RNA
Rfam family: Bacterial small subunit ribosomal RNA
Source: RNAcentral
GACGAACGCUGGCGGCGUGCCUAAUACAUGCAAGUCGAACGCAGUGGGGACGGGUGAGUAACACGUGGGUAACCUCCCAUCAGAGGGGAUAACACUUUGAAACAGGUGCUAAACCGAUACUGAUGGAUGGACCCGCGGUGCAUUAGCUAGUUGGUGAGGUAACGGCUCACCAAGGCCACGAUGCAUAGCCGGACUGAGAGGGGGAUCGGCCAAACUGGGAAGUGGAAACGGGCCAGACCCCUACGGGAGGGAGGAGGAGGGAAUCUUCGGCAAUGGACGAAAGUCUGACCGAGCAACGCCGCGGGAGUGAAGAAGGUUUUCGGAUCGUAAAACUCUGUUGGUAGAGAAGCGGUAUCUAACCAGAAAGCCACGGCUAACUACGUGCCAGCAGCCGCGGUAAUAC